GUUGCGUCACGGGUCGAUUUAAUCACGACUUAUGAGUGACAAUAUACUCGAUGUCGAAGGCAUUUGUAACCCAACAAGUGGGGAGUUUGAUUUGGUUGGGACAAAUCGAACGAUCUGCGGUAGCAUCGAUGAUGGGGAGGCGUGGAAACAAGUUGAGCCAUGCCGCAUGUUGUUGUUACUUUUCGAUGAUUUUGGAACUCAUAUUUCAUUUGUUGAUGAGAUUUAUCAACUGAUGUGGUGAUGUCAAAUUGUCUAUGGAUCUUAGUUUUGAUGCUUAACUUGUAUCUUCAUGAGGCAUGCACUACCGGUUCGAUUGUAUGGCAUGGUAUUGUUUCUUGGUUGCCUUAUGAUCGGAUUGUUGGUGUAACCGAUGACUUGAUUUGGCUUGUUAACCUUAAAACUUUCGAUGGAUGACAUUUUGAUGUUCGUCUGUUGAUGAAUGUUGUUGAAAUGUGAUGCAAUUGUUCGUUGGUUUGUGAUGCGUUGUUGAUGAUGACAUUCGUCUCGAGGUGAUGCGGUGUCAUGUUGCCUGUGUAUCCUAGUUUCUAGCUAUCGAGCUUAAAACGUGUGGAUUAUCGGUUAGUAACAUGGAAUCGCUUCCUUGGUCGAUGAAAGUCGUCCAAUGAUGCAGUGGUUUGUUUAAUUUGUUCUCGCAUCGCUCGGUGCAUUCUGUGGUCAUGUUGACUGUUGGCUGCUUGCUUGGCAAUUGAGCUUGGUGGGUGGCUACUGGUUGGGUGUCUUCGGGGAUGUCUACCGUAAAGGUGCAUGAGUGGUGUUUGGUUUGUUAUGGGUGGUUGGCUCUCUGCUUGCGCAACAACUUCUACCCGGCAUACCUCUUCAGUCUUGUUUCAUUGCUAGUAUUGCAUUGAAUGCAAGGUGGGUUUCCUGUGUUGCAUACCUAAUUAAUGGUAUCAUUGGAUGAAUCGAUUUUCCUUUCGUCUUGCGUUGCCUAUGCGAUGUGAGAUGAACCUUGAAGCAGCCUUUGUGAUCCAUUCUUUUGAUGCGUACGCSUCGAUUUUGUGGCCCAUUGAGUGUUGCUUGGUCUCAUGGAUAUGGAAUCUGGUGUGGGCAUGGAGUCYUAAUGGUUCCUUGUUUGCCCAAGUUUAGCUUUUCUAAAMCGAUUMUCU
This 1127-nucleotide unclassified non-coding RNA is filed under the name Helichrysum callicomum. RNAcentral describes it as "contains 5' external transcribed spacer, ETS". The record is from RNAcentral. Lineage: Eukaryota; Viridiplantae; Streptophyta; Magnoliopsida; Asterales; Asteraceae.